Molecule: transfer RNA, 69 nt
Filed under: Hemithyrsocera vittata
Lineage: Eukaryota; Metazoa; Arthropoda; Insecta; Blattodea; Blattellidae
Description: tRNA-Gln
Source: RNAcentral
UACAUUUUGGUGUAUGGUGCACAGGAACUUUUGAUGUUUUUGGGAAUAGUUUAACUCUAUUGGAUGUAA